This 202-nucleotide ribosomal RNA is filed under the name uncultured bacterium. RNAcentral's name for it is "partial 16S ribosomal RNA". It matches the Rfam family "Bacterial small subunit ribosomal RNA", at positions 130 to 334 of the family's 1533-position model. The record is from RNAcentral.
CGCGUGGAGGGGGAUAACUACUGGAAACGGUAGCUAAUACCGCAUAACGUCGCAAGACCAAAGAGGGGGACCUUAGGGCCUCUUGCCAUCGGAUGUGCCCAGAUGGGAUUAGCUAGUAGGUGGGGUAACGGCUCACCUAGGCGACGAUCCCUAGCUGGUCUGAGAGGAUGACCAGCCACACUGGAACUGAGACACGGUCCAG